RNAcentral lists this ribosomal RNA (443 nucleotides) under uncultured bacterium. Its description in RNAcentral is "partial 16S ribosomal RNA". It matches the Rfam family "Bacterial small subunit ribosomal RNA", at positions 338 to 795 of the family's 1533-position model. The record is from RNAcentral.
CCUACGGGAGGCAGCAGUGGGGAAUAUUGGGCAAUGGGCGCAAGCCUGACCCAGCAACGCCGCGUGAAGGAAGAAGGCUUUCGGGUUGUAAACUUCUUUUAUCAGGGACGAAGCAAGUGACGGUACCUGAUGAAUAAGCCAUGGCUAACUACGUGCCAGCAGCCGCGGUAAUACGAAGGUGGCAAGCGUUAACCGGAUUUGCUGGGUGUAAAGGGCGUGUAGGCGGGAGUGCAAGUCAGAUGUGAAAACUAUGGGCUCAACCCAUAUCCUGCAUUUGAAACUGUGCUUCUUGAGUGCUGGAGAGGCAAGCGGAAUUCCGGGUGUAGCGGUGAAAUGCGUAGAUAUACGGAAGAACACCGAUGGCGAAGGCGGAUUGCUGGACAGUAACUGACGCUGAGGCGCGAAAGUGUGGGGAGCGAACAGGAUUAGAUACCCGUGUAGUC